Molecule: ribosomal RNA, 1346 nt
Filed under: uncultured bacterium
Lineage: Bacteria
Description: bacterial SSU rRNA
Rfam family: Bacterial small subunit ribosomal RNA
Source: RNAcentral
GACGAACGCUGGCGGCGUGCUUAGCACAUGCAAGUCGAACGGAAAGGCCCUGCUUUUGUGGGGUGCUCGAGUGGCGAACGGGUGAGUAACACGUGAGUAACCUGCCCUUGACUUUGGGAUAACUUCAGGAAACUGGGGCUAAUACCGGAUAGGAGCUCCUGCUGCAUGGUGGGGGUUGGAAAGUUUCGGCGGUUGGGGAUGGACUCGCGGCUUAUCAGCUUGUUGGUGGGGUAGUGGCUUACCAAGGCUUUGACGGGUAGCCGGCCUGAGAGGGUGACCAGCCACAUUGGGACUGAGAUACGGCCCAGACUCCUACGGGAGGCAGCAGUGGGGAAUAUUGCACAAUGGGCGGAAGCCUGAUGCAGCAACGCCGCGUGCGGGAUGACGGCCUUCGGGUUGUAAACCGCUUUCGCCUGUGACGAAGCGUGAGUGACGGUAAUGGGUAAAGAAGCACCGGCUAACUACGUGCCAGCAGCCGCGGUGAUACGUAGGGUGCGAGCGUUGUCCGGAUUUAUUGGGCGUAAAGGGCUCGUAGGUGGUUGAUCGCGUCGGAAGUGUAAUCUUGGGGCUUAACCCUGAGCGUGCUUUCGAUACGGGUUGACUUGAGGAAGGUAGGGGAGAAUGGAAUUCCUGGUGGAGCGGUGGAAUGCGCAGAUAUCAGGAGGAACACCAGUGGCGAAGGCGGUUCUCUGGGCCUUUCCUGACGCUGAGGAGCGAAAGCGUGGGGAGCGAACAGGCUUAGAUACCCUGGUAGUCCACGCUGUAAACGGUGGGUACUAGGUGUGGGGUCCAUUCCACGGGUUCCGUGCCGUAGCUAACGCUUUAAGUACCCCGCCUGGGGAGUACGGCCGCAAGGCUAAAACUCAAAGGAAUUGACGGGGCCCCGCACAAGCGGCGGAGCAUGCGGAUUAAUUCGAUGCAACGCGUAGAACCUUACCUGGGUUUGACAUGGAUCGGGAGCGCUCAGAGAUGGGUGUGCCUCUUUUGGGGUCGGUUCACAGGUGGUGCAUGGCUGUCGUCAGCUCGUGUCGUGAGAUGUUGGGUUAAGUCCCGCAACGAGCGCAACCCUUGUUCACUGUUGCCAGCACGUUAUGGUGGGGACUCAGUGGAGACCGCCGGGGUCAACUCGGAGGAAGGUGGGGAUGACGUCAAGUCAUCAUGCCCCUUAUGUCCAGGGCUUCACGCAUGCUACAAUGGCUGGUACAGAGAGUGGCGAGCCUGUGAGGGUGAGCGAAUCUCGGAAAGCCGGUCUCAGUUCGGAUUGGGGUCUGCAACUCGACCUCAUGAAGUCGGAGUCGCUAGUAAUCGCAGAUCAGCAACGCUGCGGUGAAUACGUUCCCGGGGCU